CCAAUAGCGUAUAUUAAAGUUGUUGCAGUUAAAAAGCUCGUAGUUGAAUCUUGGGUCUGGCCGGGCGGUCCGCUUUCUGGGUGAGCACUGUUCCGACGCCGGGCCUAUCCGUCUGGUGAGUCGGCAUGUCCUUUAUGGGGUGUGCCGGGGAACCAGGACCAUUACCUUGAAAAAAUUAGAGUGUUCAAAGCAGGCGUAUGCUCGGAUACAUUAGCAUGGAAUAAUGAAAUAGGACGCGUGGUGCUAUUUUGUUGGUUUCUAGAACCGCCGUAAUGAUUAAUAGGGAUAGUUGGGGGCAUUAGUAUUCCAUUGUCAGAGGUGAAAUUCUUGGAUUUAUUGAGGACUAACUUCUGCGAAAGCAUUUGCCAAGGAUGUUUUCAUUAAUCAAGAACGAAAGUUAGGGGAUCGAAGACGAUCAGAUACCGUCGUAGUCUUAACCAUAAACUAUGCCGACUAGGAAUCGGGCGAUGUUAUUCUCAUGACUCGCCCGGCGCCUUAUG
RNAcentral lists this ribosomal RNA (500 nucleotides) under uncultured Glomeromycotina. RNAcentral's name for it is "partial small subunit ribosomal RNA". It matches the Rfam family "Eukaryotic small subunit ribosomal RNA", at positions 591 to 1092 of the family's 1831-position model. The record is from RNAcentral. Lineage: Eukaryota; Fungi; Glomeromycota.